GAGACGCUAGCUAAACGGUUAAAGCAUCGCCCUUUUAAGGCGACUAUUCCGCGUUCGAGUCGCGGGCGUCCCACCA
This 76-nucleotide transfer RNA is filed under the name compost metagenome. RNAcentral's name for it is "tRNA-Lys". It matches the Rfam family "tRNA". From Rfam's summary of the family: Transfer RNA (tRNA) molecules are approximately 80 nucleotides in length. Their secondary structure includes four short double-helical elements and three loops (D, anti-codon, and T loops). The record is from RNAcentral.